This 464-nucleotide ribosomal RNA is filed under the name uncultured bacterium. RNAcentral describes it as "partial 16S ribosomal RNA". It matches the Rfam family "Bacterial small subunit ribosomal RNA", at positions 339 to 795 of the family's 1533-position model. The record is from RNAcentral.
CUACGGGACGCACCAGUGGGGAAUAUUGCACAAUGGGCGCAAGCCUGAUGCAGCCAUGCCGCGUGUAUGAAGAAGGCCUUCGGGUUGUAAAGUACUUUCAGCGGGGAGGAAGGGAGUAAAGUUAAUACCUUUGCUCAUUGACGUUACCCGCAGAAGAAGCACCGGCUAAGUCCGUGCCAGCAGCCGCGGUAAUACGGAGGGUGGCAAGCGUUAAUCGGAAUUACUGGGCGUAAAGCGCACGCAGGCGGUUUGUUAAGUCAGAUGUGAAAUCCCCGGGCUCAACCUGGGAACUGCAUCUGAUACUGGCAAGCUUGAGUCUCGUAGAGGGGGGUAGAAUUCCAGGUGUAGCGGUGAAAUGCGUAGAGAUCUGGAGGAAUACCGUUGGCGAAGGCGGCCCCCUGGACGAAGACUGACGCUCAGGUGCGAAAGCGUGGGGAGCAAACAGGAUUAGAUCCCUAGUAGUC